This 1538-nucleotide long non-coding RNA is filed under the name Vulpes vulpes (red fox). RNAcentral's name for it is "lncRNA (ENSVVUG00000000322.1)". The record is from RNAcentral. Lineage: Eukaryota; Metazoa; Chordata; Mammalia; Carnivora; Canidae.
GGGAUAUAGAGAGGUAUAACCAUGCCUUGGGGGAUACAGGGAAUAACUUACCUGCAAGUCAGUAUUAGGAGGGUUUCAUAGUCUUCUUGGGUUGCUGUAACAAAAAUGUCAUUUAUUGGAUGACUUAAGCAACAAACAUUUAUUUCCCACAGUUCUGGAGGCUGGGAAGCCUAAGAUGCAGGUCCCAGCAGAGAGGUAGAAGAAGUGGAAUAUUUAUGUUGUAUAGUUUUAAAAGCGCUGUCACCUCCUCCCAUUAUACUCUCAUGAUUCUGUGAGAUUGAUAUCACUGUUACAUCAGUUUUAUAGUUUACAAAUCUGAGGCUUGGAGAGGCUAAUUAGCACAAACACAUUUAGCUGGUAAGCAACAGACUGGGAAUGAAGGAGGAGGAGCGAUUCAUUAUGACUAGCUAAAUUGGGAAAACUUUAUGAAGGAAAUGUAUGAAUUAGGGCUUUGAGGAGCAAGUCAGAUUUAAGCACAAGAAAGUAAAGGGACAGGUACUGUUGGUUAGAUCACCUGUGGGAACCCAAAGCAUGAGAAAGCUUGGCUCUUUUGGUUUGUGGCCAAUCAUCCACUGUGGGGGGACAGUAGGUACCCAGGCCAGUAUAAUUUGGCUGCUUAUAAAACUCUUUUGUGAUCGCAUUAUGAGGUCCUGGUUCUGUGGAUUGCAGGAAGGAGUGCAUUUCUUCUGGCUCGUAGGCAAGUGAAUGCCUGUCUCCCCCAAGUCAUGGGUCUUCCUUCUCUAUUCUUCCUCAGGGGAGGAAAUAAAUGCUGAUGUUGUGCAUGGCCAGGACAGCGAAGUGAUGAAGGAAGAGAACAGGUUGCCUGGGUUGGAUUUUCAUCUGUUCUUUCCUGUUGACCCCACUUGGACUGGAAAAGGGUGUGUCCUGCUGAUUGACCUGGAUCUGGCCAAUGGAACUAAAAAGAAACUCUCCUGAAGAACAUCUGAGAAAAGUUGAAUUGGUGUCCUAAUAUAAGGAUCAGAUAGAAGAGGAAGGUUUGUUGGUGUUAGCAAGAAUAGCAGCAACCAUUUUGCAAAUUUAAGGUCAAGUGUGAAAAACAAAGCCUUUGGCUGUUGUUAAAGAUGGUGGAGGAGAGAGAGAUGAAAAGAGAAUCAUGACAGAGUUGACUUGCUGACCUAGUCCUGAAAUAACCUCUUGGAUUUUUCCUGAAACCCAACACUGAGAUAAAAACACCACACACGCACGUGUACACACACACACACACACACACACGCGCAAGCACACACACACAGCAUGCUACUGCCACUGUUACAGGUUUUUUAUUUUUGUUUUGUUUCUUUGGCAAAGAAAAAAAGGCAUCGAUUCAUCCAGAGAAUCAUUCACCACAUUUUGAUAAAAUUAUUUUAACCUGGAAAGUUACUUUCAGAAGCAAAGGUGGUCUAACAGUAGCAACUUUAUUAACAUAAUGGCACAUCACUAAUCUCAUGAUGCUGCAAAAAUUAACACCCAUUACUAACUUUUAAAAAUGUGAGUAAAUUUAUAAUAAAAGUGUUAAGUUAGAAGAAUAAAAUUCUAGU